RNAcentral lists this long non-coding RNA (621 nucleotides) under Malus domestica (apple). RNAcentral's name for it is "long non-coding RNA (MDOM_LNC011117)". The record is from RNAcentral. Lineage: Eukaryota; Viridiplantae; Streptophyta; Magnoliopsida; Rosales; Rosaceae.
UGUUGUUCAUAUGAGCAUGAAUAUUGAAGCUAAAAUUUGGUGCCAUGCUUUUGGGAAAAUUCGGCCAAAACCAAAGGGUGGAUUUUUGGGUUCUUGUUUGACUUGUUAAAAGUGUUUUAAUGUGUUCUUUGGAACCCCUAAGUACCCUAGUUUGGUUAGAUGUUAUUUCCCUUAAGUAAGAAUGGUUUUGGAAUGUUUUUGGGUGAAAAAAGUUCAUGGAAAAUUUUGGGUUUUUCAUGGAUGUUCUUCAUUGUUCUUGAUGUUCUUGCCAAGAACAAAAAGGUUUGGUGUUUUGAUUCAAAGUUUUGAAUUAUUUCAUAAAGUUUAUGUGAUAUGUUUUUUAAAUGAUUUAUCAUGUAUUUAAAGUGUUAAAUAUUUGAUUAAAUGAUGAUAGAAAUAUCUAUCAUCAAAACAUAUAUUAUUUUUAUGAAAGGUGAUAAAAAUGGUGAUAAGAUUUUCUUAUCUUACACACCACUAGAUUGCCUUAUGCCAAAACUCACUAAUCAACACACACAUCACACUUAUCCCUUCCAAAACCGGCCACCCCUUCAAGUGGGGUACUUUUGGGGCUUUUAUGCAAUUACAUAAAGUUUUGAUACUUUUGUGUAUUUGCACUUUGGC